ACGUCAAGUCCUCAUGGCCCUUACGUGUUGGGCUACACACGUGCUACAAUGGCAUCUACAACAGGAAGCAAAACGGCAACGUUAAGCAAAUCCCGAAAAGAUGCCUCAGUUCGGAUUGCACUCUGCAACUCGAGUGCAUGAAGCUGGAAUUACUAGUAAUCGUGGAUCAGCGUGCCACGGUGAAUGCGUUCCCGGGUCUU
Molecule: ribosomal RNA, 200 nt
Filed under: uncultured prokaryote
Description: partial 16S ribosomal RNA
Rfam family: Bacterial small subunit ribosomal RNA
Source: RNAcentral